RNAcentral lists this ribosomal RNA (912 nucleotides) under uncultured marine bacterium. RNAcentral's name for it is "bacterial SSU rRNA". It matches the Rfam family "Bacterial small subunit ribosomal RNA", at positions 53 to 1011 of the family's 1533-position model. The record is from RNAcentral.
ACAUGCAAGUCGAACGAAGUAGCAAUACUUAGUGGCAGACGGGUGAGUAACAUGUGGGUAUCUUCCCUUUGGUGAGGAAUAACACGAGGAAACUUGUGCUAAUACCUCAUAAGUCUUUACGGAGAAAGCUUUAUGCGCCAUUGGAUGAGCCCGCACUUGAUUAGUUUGUUGGUGGGGUAAUGGCCUACCAAGACUUUGAUCAAUAGCUGAUUUGAGAGGAUGAUCAGCCACAUUGGGACUGAGACACGGCCCAAACUCCUACGGGAGGCAGCAGUAGGGAAUCUUGCACAAUGGAGGAAACUCUGAUGCAGCGAUGCCGCGUGAGUGAAGAAGGCCUUUGGGUUGUAAAGCUCUUUCGUCGGGGAAGAAAAUGACUGUACCCGAAUAAGAAGGUCCGGCUAACUUCGUGCCAGCAGCCGCGGUAAUACGAAGGGACCUAGCGUAGUUCGGAAUUACUGGGCUUAAAGAGUUCGUAGGUGGUUAAAAAAGUUGGUGGUGAAAGCCCAGAGCUUAACUCUGGAACUGCCAUCAAAACUUUUUAGCUAGAGUAUGAUAGAGGAAAGCAGAAUUUCUAGUGUAGAGGUGAAAUUCGUAGAUAUUAGAAAGAAUACCAAUUGCGAAGGCAGCUUUCUGGAUCAUUACUGACACUGAGGAACGAAAGCAUGGGUAGCGAAGAGGAUUAGAUACCCUCGUAGUCCAUGCCGUAAACGAUGUGUGUUAGAUGUUGGAAAUUUAUUUUCAGUAUCGCAGCGAAAGCGAUAAACACACCGCCUGGGGAGUACGACCGCAAGGUUAAAACUCAAAUGAAUUGACGGGGACCCGCACAAGUAGUGGAGCAUGUGGUUUAAUUCGAAGAUACGCGCAGAACCUUACCAACACUUGACAUGUUCGUCGCGACUUUAAGAGAUUAAA